Molecule: long non-coding RNA, 2551 nt
Filed under: Sus scrofa (pig)
Lineage: Eukaryota; Metazoa; Chordata; Mammalia; Artiodactyla; Suidae
Description: lncRNA (ENSSSCG00030053845.1)
Source: RNAcentral
UUUUUUUUAAUAUUUUGUUACAAAUAGAUUAUAUAAAAUCCAAAUUUCAUUGACUAGAAAUAAAAUUCUGUUAGAACCUGGCCCUGCUCACUCACUACGUAUCACCUACGGCUGCUUUCACACGGCAAAGGCAGAGCUGAGUAAUUGUGACAGAGAUGGUCUGGCCCACAGAGCCUCAAAUCUUUACUAUCUGGGCUUUUACAGAAAAAAAGUCUAUCGUAUUGCCAAUCUGUACUAUCGCAUUGCCAAUAAGUACAGAAAUUGAGAGUAAGCCUUAGAAAUGCACAGAAAAUUGACCAAGGAAUUUUCUAUCUCUGAGUCAAAUACUUAAAAAUAGGCUACGUAGUCUGUAUGUCUUUGGGGUUUUCUAAAUUUUCAUUUUUCUAGUUAUUGAUUUUUAUUGGAUUUUAUUAAAGUAUCAGUUCAUGAUAAAAUGGAAACCUUAAAAAAAAACUGGUCCUUGAACACAAAUAGUUGUAGAAGCACUCAAGUAGUGAAUCAAUGUCUUUAGAAAAACAAAGGAGUGGAUCUUCUGGGACACAAGCAUCCUGAGAGCAGAGCUUUCAACUGCCUGUGCGCCUAUAUUUCUCAGCAUCUAGACAGUGCCUGGUACAGUGUAACAGGAACUCAAUAAAUGCUGGACAAAUAUACAAAUCCAAUACAACCCACUUCCUAACUCCAAUAUCACUCCCAAGGAUUGCUAUUUUCUAGGUUUGUUUUAUUUUUAUUUAUUUAUUUAUUUAUUUAGUCUUUUUAGGACCUCACCCGAGGUAUAUGAAGGUUCCCAGGCUAGGGGUCAAAUCGGAACUGUAGCCACUGGCCUAUGCCACAGCAAUGCCAGAUCAGAGCCACAUCUUCAAACUACACCACAGUUCACGGCAACGCCAGAUCCUUAACUGAAUGGACAAGGCCAGGAAUUGAACCUGCAUCUUCAUGGAUACUAGUCAGAUUUGUUUCUGCUGAGCCACGACAGGAACUCCCUGUUUUUAUUUUUAAUUUACUCUCAAAGGCAGUAUUUACAGCCGAAACUCUGGUCCCAGGCCUGGGUUGAAAUCCCAGCUUCACCUUUUACUAGCCAGGCUAUCUUUGGCAAGUCACUCAACCUUUCUCUAACUCUUCAAGUAUCAAAUGGGGAUAACAGUAGAGUCUAUAGAGUUAUUAGGACAGUAAUCUGAGUUGAUAUUAAUAUAAAUUACUUAGAAGGGUGCCAUGAACACAGAAAGAACUCAAUAAAUUCAUGUAUUAUUAUUAUUGUACAUAUCUGUAAAGUAUGCAUAUGCGCGAAGUGGUCACAAAACUUUCUCGUAUUAGCUGCCCAAGAUAGCAUGCAGUGCUCUUUAUCUUUUUAAGGUAAAGCAUUUUAUAUUCCUGCCAAAUGUAAUGUCUCCAGCUUUUUAAAAACAAUCUCUCUAGGUCAUCAGAUACUUUUAGCAAAUAUGAUUUUUCAUGAAUCUGUGAAGUAUUUCCCAUAAAUUUGCUUAGUACAGCCCAAAGGUUUGACUAAACAUCUAUAAAUGUAGCCCAAGAAUUGGUACAAGUAAUAUGAAGAAAAUUUCAAUUCUAGGAGUUCCCACUGUGGCUCAGCAGAAACAAAUCCACCUAGUAUCCAUGAGGACACAGUAAAUUCACAAUUGUCUGUUAAAACCCAUGUCUCCUCCCUUACACUGUGAUGUAGUCCCAUUUUCAAGAAUUUUUCACUGCAAAAAGCUAUUUGUGUUGUCCACACUAAUGAGUUAGUAGUUGCAAGGAAAAAUAUUAGUUGAUUAGAUCCAAGAAGCUUUUUAUAUUGUUGUUGAUACGUAAUGCAGAAUAAAAUAUAAUGGGGAAAAUCUUCCUCUUAGGAACUCUGCAGAUUACAGGCUAGUGGAGCAAAGCAAAUCUGGUUGUUUUUAGUAGAAGGAAGGCUUUGGAGACAGGCUGACAAGGCUGACCAGCCAGGAAACCCUGAUGAGUGUCAGGACAUCACACCAUUAACUAGGGAGCUGGUGUUGAACAUAGGCUUGGUGUACAAGGCAUCCUCAUUUAACAAAACAAAUAAAAAAGGCAUCCAUAAAGAGGGACUACUAUCUAAAUGCAGAGUGUUUAAUCAUCGCAAAAUAAAUCUAUGAGAAUAUUUUUUACAAACACAAAAAAAUUUCAAUUAAGGAUGACUGGAGACAACAUCAAUUUCAAUCAGCAUCUAUGAAAUUCAGACAAAAAAUUUUCAGAGCCCUAAUCCAUGUCAGAUAAACCCCCGGGGUUUUGUGCAACGUAGUUUAAAAACUUAGUCAAUUAAAAAUUUAUUACUACCUGUUGCAUGUCCUAUCUAUAUUUAAAUAUUUCUCUCUAUGGGGGUAUUUGGUUAGUUUCUAUUUUUCUCCAUGUAAACAAUGCUGUAAUCAGUUCCCUCGUAUAUACAUUUUGGUAUAAUUCUUUGGUUGUUUCCUUAAAAUAAAUUCCUAGAAAUGCUGGGUCAAAGCACAGAAACAGUUUUGAAGUUUUGAUAGAUAUUGCCAAAAUGCUCUCCAGAUAUUCAAAUAUCAGCUUAAGAUUUCUAGCUCAAGAGAAUUCC